UAAUUGGAAUGAGCUCAGGAACCUCGUUUGCUUUUGAUCCGCUGCCAGCCACUCAGAGUGCUACUGGGCCACAGCUCUCACCUCAACACUCCCAGUGGAUUAUGGGAAACUGCAACGCUUAUGUUCUAAAAAGCGCCUGACAGCAUCUCACUCAAGGUCGAACAAUACAAUGAAAUUUGAAUCCAGUGCGGGAAUGGUGGACUCUGCCACUAACAAUGAAAACUACUAUGAGAGUUUGAUCUGCUGGCUCAGCACUUUUCCAGAGUGGACUAACUCCAGGGACUUAUGGGAGUUUGAUGCUCCCUGGCUGCCAAAUGCCAGCAGGCCAAUGAAAAAAGAUAUCUGAAACUUCUAAGCUCAAUAUUUAAUCAAGCGCUGGGUUACAUUUGCUGUUUGAUUAGUGUGCACACAUUUGUGCCCCCAAGUCAAAACCAGCUAAAUAAACAGUGUGUUUCCUGAUGCCUAACGGUGUGCACUGCCCAUGCACCGCUGAUGUCAAUCCACCCAGGACUACCAGUGGCCCCACUUCGCUCACUUACUUACUCUUUGGCUCACUCCAUCCUUCCUUCAUGCUCAAAUUGACACUUGGUGCAGAGGCAGGCAGACAGGGGGCCUCUCCACCCUGCGCCUCCAGAGAUGUGGCCCAGCUGUCAGCCGUCUAAUCCAGUCCAACCUCCCCCUGAGCCAGGCAGGAACUCCAGGCUGCUCCCCCUCAUCCUCACGCCUAGAGGCACAGCAAACAACUCAGCCCUCGUCAACACUACAAACAGCACGCCGGGAGGGGAGCACUUUGCUAGUCAAAUCAGUUUUGACCGUUCUUCAUAAAUCAAGUACAACUGUGUGAUGGCACACCCCAAAAGCCUUUGUGUAUGAAAGACAACAGGUUAUUGACAUCAUGUUGACAUUGUGCUGGAAUGUAUUGCAUCAUAUAUCACAUAUCAGUUUGAUACUCUGUGGUUUGUAGCACCACUACUAAAGCCCAGCAGAUGAUUUAAUAAUUUUUGUUUCCAAUCAGCUCUCACAAUCUGAGCAAAGAAUCCCCUGGCCAUAGCGUCUCCUUUUACAUCAUAGGUGUUAGAGUUGGCAUUGUUACUAUGGAAACCACUGUACAGAGAAAAUGGCAUAUUGGUAAAUUUAGAUACAGUAGUGCAGGCAUGAAUGAGACACUAUCCAAUACAUUGCUGUCUUUCAGAGAUAUAGUAAUUUGACCUGACUUUGCAACCAUGUAUCUAUGUAAAAAUAUGUAUUAUAAUGAUAGACAACUUGAUAAUAUGUUAAAAAAACAACAACAACAAAAAAACAACAACAACAGCCUUUUAACAAUAUGGAUUUAUUUUUGUGUGGUUUGUGAGCACUCCUGGCACAGUCGUGGGCAUGUGUGUUUUCAGGAGUAUGUCUGUACCUUUCGUAUGGCUCCCCAUGGCAUUCCCAAUAUCAGUAUUCCUGUAGAUGUGUUUGAUGUGUUUGAAGCCACGUAGCAUACCUUGGAACAUGACAGUAAACAUGGCAGAGGCUCUCCCUCAGUGGAGCAGUGAUGCACAUCACCCCUCAGAAGUGUGUGACGGGUGUACAAACCAAACCCACCGGGCCACAUUGUCUCCUGGGAUUCUCCCUUACUAUGCUGCACUGACUGGCUGCAUGUUACUCAGUGCGACGCUGUUCAGAAUAAUUCCAUCCUCAGCCUGGAAAACAAAAGAGCAAACUGACAUGGGAGACAAACAAAGAGGAGAAAUGCAAAACAUGGACUUGUGACAAGUUAUGGAACCCACUUAACUGGUUAUCUGACCCAGCAGCAGUAGAUGUCAUGAUAUAUCCUGUUCUAAUGUUUUGCCUGUGUUUCAUCCCUGGAAAAUCACUAGUGUAUGUUUCCUGCAUGCAUCCCUGGGGAAAUUAAGAGGCACACUAUGUAUCUCGUGAGGAUUCUCCCAAGAAUGAGAAUAAAGCAGGCAGCAUGAAAGAGUA
Long non-coding RNA from Siniperca chuatsi (mandarin fish), 1962 nucleotides. RefSeq lists it as uncharacterized. The record is from RefSeq and is a predicted model, not a curated record. Lineage: Eukaryota; Metazoa; Chordata; Actinopteri; Centrarchiformes; Sinipercidae. The transcript has 4 exons.